AGGGUGUAACCGCUGCAGACUUGGUGUUGGAAGCCCUUUGGGGGCAUUCAGUGCCGGAGAGAAGUUGUUAAGUCUGCUACUUGGGGAGUACGUCCGCAAGGAUGAAACUUAAAGGAAUUGGCGGGGGAGCACCGCAACGGGAGGAGCGUGCGGUUUAAUUGGAUUCAACACCGUAAAACUCACCAGGGAAGACUGUUACAUGAAGGCCGAGAUGAAGACUCUGCUAGAUUUUCAGAGAGGAGGUGCAUGGCGUCAGUGACU
Molecule: ribosomal RNA, 261 nt
Filed under: uncultured archaeon
Lineage: Archaea
Description: partial 16S ribosomal RNA
Rfam family: Archaeal small subunit ribosomal RNA
Source: RNAcentral